This 1573-nucleotide unclassified non-coding RNA is filed under the name Hevea brasiliensis (rubber tree). The record is from RNAcentral. Lineage: Eukaryota; Viridiplantae; Streptophyta; Magnoliopsida; Malpighiales; Euphorbiaceae.
AGAUGAACUUACAAGGAAAUAAAAGAUUAUAAACGACGGUAGUUCAACGGCAGUGUGGUACUCCCACCACACCAACCAAGCCAAAUCGUCAACGAGAUACUAUUCAGCGAACAGCUUCGAUCUCUUUCUUAUCAAUGGCUAGUGAGAAGCUACCCACGGCUGGAAAUCCGAUUCGAUGCAAAGUGUCGUAAGCCGGGAGAGCCUCUGGUCUUGGAGGAGAUAGUGGUAGCUCCACCAUAUCGUCACGAAGCUCGAAUUCGGAUUAUUUGCACGUCUCUCUGUCAAAGCGAUAUUACAUUCUGGAAACUGAAGGAUUUUCCUGCUGUUUUCCCGAGAAUUCUCGGCCACGAAGCUAUUGGGGUUGUGGAAAGUGUAGGGGAGGACGUAGAUGAGGUAAAGGAGGGUGACACAGUCAUUCCCACAUUCAUGUCAGAUUGUGGAGAUUGUACAGAUUGCAGAUCAAAGAAGAGCAACCUUUGUUCAAAACUGCCCUUCAAGGUCUCUCCUUGGAUGCCAAGAUAUGAGUCGAGUAGAUUCACAGACCUAAAUGGAGAGGUUUUAUACCAUUUCCUCUUUGUGUCCAGCUUUAGUCAGUAUACAGUGGUAGACGUUGCCCAUCUUACAAAGAUCGAUCCUUCAAUCCCACCACACAGAGCAUGCCUUCUCAGCUGCGGAGUAUCAACUGGUGUUGGUGCUUCUUGGAGAACCGCAAAUGUGGAGACUGGAUCAACUGUUGCCAUAUUUGGGCUGGGAUCGAUUGGUUUAGCAGUUGCGGAGGGUGCAAGAUUAUGUGGUGCUACUAGAAUUAUAGGCGUUGAUAUGAACCCCGACAAGUUUGAAAUUGGGAAAAAAUUUGGAGUCACAGAUUUCAUCAGUGCUGGAGAUUCUGGGAGCAAAUCUGUGAGCCAGGUGAUAAAUGAGAUGACCGGCGGAGGGGCCGACUACUGCUUCGAAUGUGUUGGCUUGGCAUCCUUGGUUCGUGAAGCAUAUUCUUGCUGCCGAAAGGGUUGGGGAAAGACAAUCGUCCUAGGAGUGGACAAACCAGGAGCACAGCUGAGUCUUAGCUCUUUUGAUGUACUUCAUAAUGGGAAAAUCCUCACAGGAUCCUUGUUUGGAGGUCUCAAAGCUAAAUCUGAUAUUCCAGUUCUACUAAAACGCUAUAUGGACAAGGAACUUCAAUUGGAUGAGUUUGUAUCACAUGAGAUAAAGUUCGAAGACAUCAACAAAGCUUUUGAUUUGCUCACCGAAGGAAAGUGUCUCCGAUGCGUGAUUUGGAUGGACCAAUGAGUAUGUUAUCCUGUACGUUCACUGCAAAAAUUCUCUGCUGAGGAUAUGCGGCAUUAUUUCUUAGGUGUGCUGGGCCUGCUGUUCAAAUAAAUCAAGACACAGUCUAUUAUUGGCUUCUUGCGUUUUUGAAGCCGCAUGUUAGAACCAGCAAGCGUUAUAUUGUUUUCAAUUGAAAGGACAUGUAUUGGAUACUGAUUGCUUCUAAGACACUGUAAAUGCACUAGCUGCUCGGUAAAAUAUUUGACCGGGGAUCUGUUUUCUUAAAUGACCCAAAAUGCCGUAGCCA